UACGUAGGGGGCAAGCGUUGUCCGGAUUUAUUCGGCGUAAAGAGCGUGUAGGCGGCCAGACAGGUCCGUUGUGAAAACUCGAGGCUCAACCUCGAGACGCCGAUGGAAACCGUUUGGCUAGAGUCCGGAAGAGGAGAGUGGAAUUCCCGGUGUAGCGGUGAAAUGCGCAGAUAUCGGGAAGAACACCCGUGGCUAAGGCGGCUCUCUAGUACGGUACUGACGCUGAGACGCGAAAGCGUGGGGAGCGAACAGG
RNAcentral lists this ribosomal RNA (253 nucleotides) under uncultured bacterium. RNAcentral describes it as "partial 16S ribosomal RNA". It matches the Rfam family "Bacterial small subunit ribosomal RNA", at positions 524 to 776 of the family's 1533-position model. The record is from RNAcentral.